Molecule: long non-coding RNA, 2097 nt
Organism: Rhinolophus ferrumequinum (greater horseshoe bat)
Lineage: Eukaryota; Metazoa; Chordata; Mammalia; Chiroptera; Rhinolophidae
Exons: 5
Source: RefSeq, a predicted model, not a curated record
GAGAUUUGAAACUAUUGCUUGGCUGAAAACAUCUGGCUGCUGGUCUAGAAUGUGACUCUUAAGGGCCUUACCAAUUUGGGCCUCUUCCAGAGCUGAAAACCAAUUACAAAUAAGAAACAGAUUUCACUACUCGACUUGAAAGCCACAUAAAAACAACAACAACAACAACAACAACAACAACAACAACGACAAAAAUAAGGGGAUCCUCAAAAUAAUUGAAAAAGAUUUCCACCAAAACGUAGAUGCAGUGUGAAUGGCAGGAUAUCAAGGAGAUUUUGUUAUCAGGUCUGACACAAAACAGACACUGAAAUGUUGGUGGAGUGAAUGAAGAAUCUCUCCUCCUGCAUCAUGAGAACUAUCCUGAGACAGCAGAGCAACGAGUGUGGGAAUGACAGAAGCACCAUGACACAAGCAAGACUCACAGCAUAUUUAAAGAUUAUGUUCUCAUUUCGCCUGCCAACAAUUAAUUAACCGAUGCAAGUCACACGGCUAAGCCUAACAUCGAUGGGAAGACGUAAGGAAAAUAAAGCUCUUCUCCUUUCAAACACUUGAAGCAAGUAAAUGAAAACCAGUGACGUCGAGAAGCUGCUGCUCUCCCUGGGUCACAGUAACACGUCGUCAAGAGUGCCCUUGACUUCUAUUAAGAAUGACCAUCUAACCAGGUGAAAUACAGAACUGUAAUACAGGACUGCAGUAUCUUUUAGCAACAAGGGAGCUGUGUCUAGAUGAAUCAGAAUAUGCUGGCUGGUGGAGCUCAGACACAAUGAUGAGGGUUCCAAAGCAGUGGGCAGAGAUCAGUUAAGCAUUGCCACCUGUCUCAGAGGCUACACCUCUUUUUCUCAGGUGGGACCCUGAGGUUGUUAGCAUGGAAGCAGCUCAUCCUCUGAGCAGCUCCUGUGCCACAAGUUCGGACAGAAAUCCUGCUGGGAGGAGGACUUGGGUCGAGGCUCCUGACCACCACCGCUGGACACAGCUGUCAGCACUGCCCAAAGAAGCGAGCAUGCCACCUGGCCUGAAGAGAGCUGUUCCAGCCCCUAAGAGUGGCAGGUUCAAAACCUAUAGGAUGGUUCAAUCAAAAGCAUUGCCUUGCUCUGUCCUAUGUGCUUUUGUACGUUGGAACACAUGCUGCUAGGAGACAAAGAGGACACACGUUUAUUUUCAAGCGUAGGACUUUGGAACCACUUGGGAAGAAUAUUCUUGAUUGAGAACCAAAACAUUCCAUGAUGCUUAACAAACCUGCAAAUUGAAAAAUCAGCAUAGGCCCAUGCAACCGAGAGGCAGGAGGAGGACUGAUACCCUGAAAAAAUAUUUUUUUCCAAAUAUUCUUUAAAUGAUAUUUGUGUGCAUUUGCAACAUUACUGCUUUCUAAAUCAAAGUCCCAAGCUGUUUUCAUCUGAGAACAUACAUGGUGCCAUUAGACAAUAUCUCAGCCCGCCACCGCCCAGGAUGUCCCCCACCGCAUUGUAUAAUGGACAGUCCCGCGAAGAAGAUGCCGCAGCUCAGUCAAUGCCUCUGUAAUAAUAUUUUAAAAUAAAUGAUAUGCAUCAUUAAAUCACCGAGGAUGACUAACUCAAUUUUAGAAAACCCACAACUCCAGCAAUCAUAGUUACAGCUCUGAUUUGAAUAUUUUCCCUUUCACCUGAGCAGGCAGUGGGAGCCAGUCAAGCAGAUUCGCAUCCAGGCUGUACUCUCAGAGGAGCAGGAAGGAACCUGUGAUUAUGUAGUUACAGGAACGUCGGCUACAUGCCUCCUGUCCGCCUGGGCUUUUCAGACUUUUCCUUCCUCCCUUCUUGCCUUCUUAUUUACAUAUCACAGGCAUCCUCUUUGUAAAGUUAUUUUAAAUAAUUUAUUAGAUUGAUCUUUUUAAAAUUCUAUCCUGGCUAAAUGUCAUAAGGAGAAAAAAAAAGUCUUCUAAACUUAUUUAAAGGUUUCUACUGGAGUCGGCCAGUUACCUGCUUCACUGCUGAUAUUCUAAAAAUACCUCCAUGUCCGUACUAUUAUCCAUUCUUCACGUCCAAUUGCUCUGUUAUGGUAAUAGUCAGAAGCACACCAUGCAGUAAUUACUUACAGCUGACUGAAGAAAAGAAUAUUCAACUC